RNAcentral lists this transfer RNA (59 nucleotides) under Ricinus sp. ADS-2020. RNAcentral describes it as "tRNA-Thr". Lineage: Eukaryota; Metazoa; Arthropoda; Insecta; Psocodea; Ricinidae. The record is from RNAcentral.
GGCUUUAUAAUUUAUACUUAUAAAAUAUUAGUUUUGUAAACUGAAAAAAUGAAAAGCCA